Molecule: long non-coding RNA, 212 nt
Filed under: Mytilus galloprovincialis (Mediterranean mussel)
Lineage: Eukaryota; Metazoa; Mollusca; Bivalvia; Mytilida; Mytilidae
Source: RNAcentral
CCUAGACCACCUAGGCUCUACAAAAAUAAAGCUUUCGAUGGCCGGGUGUUACCUUUCCUCGUCAGUUUCAAUCUAGCGUCGUAUCCCAGUACAUGAUAAAUAAGCCGGCAUGAAGAUGUUAUUGUUACAGAUCAGCUGAAUUAUCUAUUGCAACGGAUCCUACAAAUUAAUGUAUGGUGUAAGACGCAAGAUAUUUUAUAUCCUAACCCCGC